This 325-nucleotide ribosomal RNA is filed under the name uncultured eukaryote. Its description in RNAcentral is "partial 18S ribosomal RNA". It matches the Rfam family "Eukaryotic small subunit ribosomal RNA", at positions 1470 to 1796 of the family's 1831-position model. The record is from RNAcentral.
CCCUUAGAUGUUCUGGGCCGCACGCGCGCUACACUGAUGCAUUCAACGAGCCUAUCCUUGACCGACAGGUCCGGGUAAUCUUUGAAUCUGCAUCGUGACGGGGAUAGAUUAUUGCAAUUAUUAAUCUUCAACGAGGAAUGCCUAGUAGGCGCAAGUCAUCAGCUUGCGCCGAUUACGUCCCUGCCCUUUGUACACACCGCCCGUCGCUCCUACCGAUUGGGUGUGCUGGUGAAAUGUUCGGAUCGGCCGUUUGUCGCGGUUUCCGCGGCUCGUGGCUGAGAAGUUCAUUAAACCCUCCCACCUAGAGGAAGGAGAAGUCGUAACA